RNAcentral lists this ribosomal RNA (497 nucleotides) under uncultured bacterium. RNAcentral describes it as "partial 16S ribosomal RNA". It matches the Rfam family "Bacterial small subunit ribosomal RNA", at positions 28 to 507 of the family's 1533-position model. The record is from RNAcentral.
GACGAACGCUGGCGGCGUGCCUAAUACAUGCAAGUUGAGCGCUGAAGGUUGGUACUUGUACCAACUGGAUGAGCAGCGAACGGGUGAGUAACGCGUGGGGGAUCUGCCUUUGAGCGGGGGACAACAUUUGGAAACGAAUGCUAAUACCGCAUAAAAACUUUAAACACAAGUUUUAAGUUUGAAAGAUGCAAUUGCAUCACUCAAAGAUGAUCCCGCGUUGUAUUAGCUAGUUGGUGAGGUAAAGGCUCACCAAGGCGAUGAUACAUAGCCGACCUGAGAGGGUGAUCGGCCACAUUGGGACUGAGACACGGCCCAAACUCCUACGGGAGGCAGCAGUAGGGAAUCUUCGGCAAUGGACGAAAGUCUGACCGAGCAACGCCGCGUGAGUGAAGAAGGGUUUCGGAUCGUAAAACUCUGUUGGUAGAGAAGAACGUUGGUGAGAGUGGAAAGCUCAUCAAGUGACGGUAACUACCCAGAAAGGGACGGCUAACUACGUG